AUUUUGUCGGUGGCCCUCCCCUUUCCUCGCCCUCACCUCACCUUUUACAAAGGUCCUUCAAAGAACACUCUCUCCAUUCUGAAAGCUGAAACGGGUCAAGAGGUUGGAGGUAGAUGAUGUUCCUGGAGUACAAGGAAGCGGCAGAUUGAAAACCCUUUGAUCAAAGAGUCCUAUGUCCUUAAGGAGUCAUCUGCGUUUGGUGUGUACGGAAAUGCCACUAUGUAAAGUGUCAUUCCUGUAUGACUCAUUGUGCCAUUUAUGUUUGCUAAUGUCCAAAUAACAGGUUCUAAGGUUAUGUAUUUAAUUUUACACCACUUACUCUUGGUUUUCUCGUUCAAUUAUAUGUAAAGUCACACAGGAAAUGCAUGAGGUUAGGUUUAAUUCGAUUUUAAUUCAGUUAUGCACAAUCACUGGAGAACAUAGCUGCGUACAAGCUUGUACUUUACCAAAUACACAUCUGAAAUUACAAUCCAACAAUUUUGCAGUCUACAAAUUCCCCUAAUCUUCUGAAGGGCUAAUUAAUCAGAGUAGAACUCAUAACCAUAAUGAAUGCACAUUUACAUCUCUUCGUCCUUGUUUUCAGACAGAAUUACAUGAAGGUGUUCAUACAAAUUGCUUCUGCGCUUCACAGAAUCACGUUCGUUAAAUGCUUGAAGGUCUCGCUUUAUAUUUAAUUAAACAAAUUGACCAUGCCUCUGGCUCUGGUUCGACAAUGCAUGCUUCCAGCAGGAUGCACAGCCAACUAGGGUUUGUAUGCCCUGCAGAAGGACCCUAGUAUGUGGAAUAGGUGGUUGUCGGUACCAAAGUCUGCACCAGUAACGCUAGCUUGGUGUGAAAUAACCGGUGGUGAUGUUUGAGAGAUGUCCAGUUUGUAGCUGAACAUGCGGCAUAGAGAACACCAUCAAGGGGACCCUCAGCAUCAUGCAGAUAUGCCCUCGCUGUGAACAUUUCUAUAAAUGGAACAGGGAGGACUCUUCAGUAUCUAUGAUGAGGGGCCAGGAGCUGAUCUAUACUGCCAUGCACAUUAAUGGGGCGCUGGCAAAAACCUUACCUCCAGCUUCACCUCUUGCCUGAUCACCAAUGGUUGUCGAUGGGGAGACCAGAAUUAGCGCUCUAGGUCGCCAUGCUCCCACACCUCAGCCAGAUUGACAGGUUCCCGCGCCUUAGCAGAGGUGACCGGUCCGCUCCUGAUCCCCGGGAUCGUCAUUUUUAUUCGGCAUGUCGGGAAGGGGGUACUGUCAUGUGUGCUCCCUCUCCGGCUUCUAGGUCACCAGGCUGCUGUCACCAUCGUCAGGUGCACCUGCGCGUCAGACUCACCUGGACUCCAUCACCUCCCUGAUUUCCUUGGUUCCUUCCCGAGGCGGUGUUUCAUGUCUGUGUGCUGUUAGUGUUUCUUGUUUUGUAUUAUGUUCUGUUUAUUGAAACACUCACUCCCUGAACUAGCUUCCCAACUCUCAGCGCACAUUGUUACACAUACAACCUUCCCACAAUGUUCUGGGAAUGAUGCAGAAAAGUUGUUUGGCUUUGGAAAAUUCUCAGCACAUUUAAGGAACUUGAUAAAUGUUAUUUUCUUGGUAUGUCAUUACUCUAACAGAAUGUUUCCUAAAAGGUCAAGCAUGGUUACAUUUAAUUUAGGUUUUGAGAAUGUUCUAGGAACCUUCUGACUGGUUUGACAUUGGGAAUGUUCUCAGAUGGAAGCAUGAAACCUGCAGAAAACAAUUUAUAGUUCAAUUGUUUACACACGUUUGCUGAAUCUUUGGCCCAUUUUCCCCAAAACUCUAGCAAAAGCAAACACUGCAUUCAAAACUUCUUUCCCAAAUGUUUUUUUUUUUGUAUCAAAAUGACGCGUCAUAUGAAUAGAUCUGUCUACCAACAACACACUGAUGUGCUCAACACAAAACACUAUAAAUAUCCCAACAAACACAAUACCGUAACAAACAUUUAUUUCCAAAAUGCAGUAUUUUUGAACACUUGUGUUUUGUAUGUAACACUUUCAUACCCAACAGGAGAAACAUUGAGUAAGAUGAAGGGUUUUCUGUACAAUAUAUAUAUAUUUUUUUAAGUGGCUCAUUCUUUCAAAACUCUAAACAGAAAAAGACAAACACAUGCGAAAUGUAAUUAAAGACAUUAGGCAGCAUCCUGCCUCUAUUUUGGUCUGACCACAGCACCUCAUCUACAUCACAAGCGAUGUUCUCCCUGGCUAAACAGUGGGGAAAGAAUCUUCUGGAGUGACGGAUCCAGCUGCCGAAAGCCCCCACAUCAACUUCAUCACAUGCAUCCUCCAUUGCACGCAUGCCUCUUCUCCAGGCGAGGGAAUAGCGGUCAUACACCUGCCAUCGCCAUGCAACUCUUCAAUUGGGUUUAGGAAUGGUGAAUAUGGUGGGAGGUAUAGAACAAUAAAUUGUGGGUGGUCGAUGAACCAGUUGCGGACCAGAGCAGCCCAGUGGAAACUCACGUUGUCCCAGAUGACAACAUACCUGGGCUGCUCUGGUCCACCCCUCUGCUCGGCUGGAAUGAGGAUGCCAUGUAACGUGUCCAGGAACGUGAUGAGAAGGGCGGUGUUGUAGGGACCAAGGUUGGCAUGGUGAUGGAGGAUGCCUUGCUGGCUAACUGCUGCGCACAUGGUGAUAUUCCCGCCACGCUGUCCAGGGACAUUCACAAAGGCACGCUGGCCAAUAAUGCUCCGUCCCCAUACCCUUCUUUUGGCUAGGUUGAAGUCAGCCUCAAUGUAAAUAUAAACGUGCUGAAUUGCAGCAGCAUCCAGCUCCAAGACUCUGAAACAGACAAACAAUGUGACAUAGACAGAGAGCAGUCAAUAUGGUGAGGCACAAUACACUGGAUUACAGUACUGUAAAGUGUCUAUACAGUGCUGAUAUGAUAGUAAAUUCACAGUAUAGUACUUAUUUGCACAUAUUCAUAGCGCUGUUAUUUAACCUCAUCUGAGUUUUGCUCAAAUGGCACCCUGUAGACCUGUUUCAUCCGGAUUCAGUUGCACUGUAAUACACGGUCCAAUGUAGACAAGCCUGGUGAAUGUUAUUGAAUAUUGUGUUGUCUGCAAUGAUGUGGUUCUGGAUUUCUCAUAGUCUAAUGGUAUGGUUUGCCACCACCAUGUUCACAAUAGCGGUCUCCUGUUCUGGUGUGAACACCCGGUGUCUUCCACCAUGGUCUGGCCGACUCAGUUCAGAAGAUCCACAAAUAUGAUUGGUUACAGUAAGCUAAAAUAAUCUAUUUUCUUUCAAUAUGAAAUUACAUUACUGGCCAACAAUCACUGUGUAACAUAGGCCUACUGAUAUGUCAGAUUACAGUAUACAUACAUAAAGAGCAUAGUGUAGAUGGUAGGUAACUUACAGGUUUUCAUUUCUGAAUGUACGGAUGAUAGAUGCAACCGUGUAGCGGCUCAGUUUGGGCUGAACUCUCUGCCCUGCCUCCCUCAUACUCAAUAUAUGGUUGAGCACAUGGUCAACCAAUGUGACCCUAAUCUCAUCUGAGACAACUGUCCGUCCUCAUCCUCCUUCACCUCUAGCUCUUGCUUCACCAUUGACUUCCAUUUUCCUCCAAAACAGGAGGCGCUCAUGGCCUUUUAUAGUGCUAAAGCUCUGAUUUCUAAGUGAACAACUCAGCAACUAAUGUUUACACCUGUGAGGAGUGGGUGUUGCCAAUUGGUGUACAGCGCGUGUCAUUGUGAUUGGCGUUGCUUUCCAAAGGGACUAAAGAGAUUUUAAGUUUGAAUGUUGUGCCUAAUGUAGAGAACUCUGUGUAGUGUUUUGCAAAAAGUGUGAUAUAGAAUUGAAACUGAAUGUAAAGUAAGAAUUGUGCUUGCAAUUUUGCAGACUUGGUUUAAGGAUUUGAUACAUGAGUUUCAGGUUUCGGUGAUUGCGUUUCAAGUUCCAAUUUUAGUGUGUAAACAAUUGGGAAAAACUGUAAAGUCAUGUUCUCAGAACAUUAAGAAAACUUUCCAUAAAAAAACACACAAAAAAUGUGUAACGUUCAAAGAACGUUCUAAGAAUGUUAUUGAAAAACAUACAUUCCAUUCUCAGCGUCAACAAACCUCUUUCUAGCCUCUUAUCUUGUUAAGUGUAUUCAGGUGUGUUUGCCGUGCCUACUAAUUGACCACACCUGAUCUUAAUGAGUGCUUUUUUCCUUUGAAAUGGGGUCUGUUUUAAUAGACUAAAAUUAACAGCUUUGUAUGUUAAAAAAACAUGGCAUUCUAACUCCAUCCUGGUGGCGCUAGCUCCAUCCUGAUGGCGCAGUGGACUAAUUCCAUAGAUAAAAAGCAGAAGAUCACAGAAAUGUGUUUUCAUGAUUAAUGCCUAAGCAAAUACAUUUUCCAUGUGUCCUAUCUGUGCUUGGAGUUCAAAACAGUUAACACAAACUAAGCUAGUAGUGUUUUUAAAAGUCUUAUUGAAACAUUCAGUGAAAGUUAAGGAAGUUAUUAAAACAAAUCUAAAUAACCUAUAAUUCCCAUUCUCAGAAAGCUAAUAAAACCUUACAGAAAAAUGUUCAGGGAACAAUUGUAAAACGAUCUCAGAACCUCCCUGUAACCAAAAACGUAUGUUCCCACAACUUCCAAGGAACCAAAUGUGCUAGCUGGGUUGUGUAUACUGAGUAUACCAAACAUAAGGGAACACUUUCCUAAUAUUGAGUUGCACCCUUAGAACAGCCUCAAUUUGUCGGGGAAUGGACUCUGCAAGGUUUUGAAAGCGUUCCACAGGGAUGCUUGCCCAUGUUGACUCCAAUGCUUCCCACAGUUGUGUCAAGUUGGCUGGAUGUCAUUUGGGAAGUGGACCAUUCUUGAUACACACAGGAAACUAUUGAGCAUGGAAAACCCAGCAGCGUUGCAGUUCUUGACACAAAACGGUGUGCCUGGCACAUUCUACCAUACCCCAUUCAAAGGCACUUAAUUAUUUUGUCUUGUCACAUACACGAUCCAUGUCUCAACUGUCUCAAGCAUUAAAAAUAAUUGUUUAACUUGUCUCCUCCCCUUCAUCUACACUGAUUGAAGUGGAUUUAACAAGUGACAUCAAUAAGGGGUCAUAGCUUUCACCUGGAUUCACCUGGUCAGUCUAUGACAUGGAAAGAGCAGGUGUUCUUAAUGUUUCGUACACUCAGUGUAUAUCUAUUAUAUAUUUCUUUCUGAUUUGCUUCAAAAAAGUCUCUCCACAAAAUGUCCCAGGUGGCCAGAACUGGCAGAGAUGUGUGACUGCCUUUGAAAACGUAUUUCAUUGUUGGCUCAAAGAAUACCCCAUUGUCCCGCAAUCAAAAUAGCAUCAUGCUCAAUUUGUACAAAUUAUUGAAAACAAUAGCAAACAACAGGCGCUGCUUUUGCCAAUGAAUGCAUGGCUGACAGGCUAGUUUUUCUUCAUAAUAAAAUGUGACCAAGGUGCUAAAUUACAUCUUGUAGAUCUGAGGUACUGUAGCUGGGUGGUUAAGCUGCAGAAAUACAGACAGACAGAGGUGAUGGAGGCUUCUAUAAUGCAUAGCCUUUACAGCACUGCAUCUUGUAAGGCUCAUUACAUUCACUUUCCAUCUCUCUCUCUCUCUCUCUCCCUGUCUGAUUUACCCAGCGAUGAGCCUUUCAGACCUACAUGUUGACAGCUAAUAUCUGUUUUAAUUAAUGGUGCUGAACUGAGAAGUAUAGGAUCGGACAGACAGGUGUGUGUGUGGUGUGUGUCUCGGUGGACGUAUUUAAGGAUUCUUCACUUUCACUCAAGUAGGAAAAUUGGGUGCUUUUUCCUCCACUGACCCUCGUUCAAUCACAUCACAUCCUCUCUCUUUGUCUCUCUCUGGCUGCGUUUACAUACGCAGCCCAAUUCUGAUCUUUCGCCCAAUUAUUGGCAAAAGUGCAGAAAAAAAUAUCAGAAUUGAGCUGGCUGUGUAAACACAGCCUAAGAGGCUCAAAGACAGCUUCCCCAGGUAGGCUGCCUAUCAAUACAACCUUAGCGUCUGGAUUCAAUCCGUAGCGCCGAAGAUCUGCAUUGUAGAACAAUUGAAAUUGCCUUUACAUUUAAAUCAUGUUAUAACACUGAUCAUCCACACUACUGAUUGAAACAGUCAGACUCAUUUCCACACUGCAGUUCCCUCACUUAUUCCACGUUGUCAGCAUCAAUUUUAACUCAGCUAUCACCUGCCAGUUCUGUCAAAUCACUGUACUGUUCUUAGUGAUGGGGAUAUGAAAUGUCCCCAGCCAUAUGGCUGAAAUCAAUUGACCAUGUGCCACACAUCAAGGAUCAGAGGUUUAUCAUUGGCUCAGGUUUGAAAAUUCACUUUUGGUAUAAACUGUGUAGGGAGGACAGCAGUUAUACAGUUAACCAGAAGACCCCACAAGAAUAGCAAACAAACCAAAAUUUGACCAACUGAGGUCAUACGGUGAAAGUGACUCAUCUCCAAUAUCUUCUGAUUGUGGUGCUGCUACAUCUGUGCCAGCUUCGAGUGAGAUCCUGAACAGCUGUCCUGCCUUUAAAAGCGAAGGAAAGCAGCCCAAAUAUCUACCCAGCAGGAGGUCUACCCAGCAGGCAAAACUGGUUGCAAUGACAUCAUUAUAACCAGAACCUGGGUCAAAAAGUGGGUAACCCAGCUGGUAUAUAAAUAUCUUAAAAAGUUGGCACAUCAUAGAAUACAUAUAGGAUCUCUGUGGGGUAUACAGCAUAUCAAAAGUGUACCCAAUGUAGGCCAAGGAGUAUCUGGUCUAGCAAACACCCUUAUUACACCACUUCCAUUUUCAUCUGGUUAGCCUCUGAGCCUAUGGCUGCCAGAAUCCCAAAAAUGUAUCAGUAGAGGAAGUCUAGUAGUAAUUUGACAGACAGCGGUAAAAUCCCAUUUGCAGAUGAAAAACCCUGUCUUCUGCAAUAAUAUUGGUCAAGGGGUUAGCUCACAUCUGGGAAACUGUACAUCACUCAAAGCUGAUCAGCAGGAAUUUGGAAUCUGGUCUCUUGUCGAAGCAUCCCUGUCAUAAUCCAAAAGCCUCAGUGAAAGUCCAAAUGUAUUUACUUACUGACUUAUUAAGGCCAGUAGCUCCCAAGGGACUCGACGACUCCUCUCCAUCAGUCUGUUCUGACCAGUCUUUUCAAUCUCGUUCCACCCCAUGCCGGAUCUUUUGGUGUCUGCUUUAAGCUCCUGCCUCUAGGUGUUUUGUGGGCUUAUUAAGGUGCUUCCGAUUACCUUAAAGAGUUCCAGGAUAGAGCUGGCUUGGUGAUGUUGGAGGGUGGUGAUGUUCAAAGGGUGUGGCCGAUCCAUCCUCAUCUGUUCCUUCAGAUUUCCUCCUCAAAUUCACCUCCUUGAAAAAUAAAUAAUAAGUUGUUCAUCUAUUUGUUUACUUGGAGUGAAUGGAGUGUGUGUGGGGUGGGGUGGGAGCGUCUUCCUGCGUUAAAUAACAAUUGUUAGUAGUAUUAUUUAAAAAAUUCAGUGGCAGCCAUGGCUAAAUGCAUAUAAGGGAAACACUGAAGCUAUUUAGUGAAUAAACAUGACUGAACAAAAUGAUACUAUGAAAUGAAAACAAAAACAAUGACAGCAAUGCACAACCAUCCAUCUGAGUGGCUCUUCUCAUCAUGAGUCAAGUUUAAAAUACGAAAAUGUAGAAUGAAAUGAGAGCAUCUAUUACUGUACAAGAUUGGAUGACAUGGACAGGUUUGAAUGAUUGAUCUUCUGAACUAUUCUAACCAACCGCUCCACAUUCAGCUAUGUCUCAAUUAUCAAGUGUUAUUCUGUAAAUACGAGAGUCUUGCGUAACACAUGACUGCCCUCUGUGUACCGGUAGUAGUGAUAUUUAGAAAACUCUUGAAAUCUCAUUCUAAAUCUCAUUCUGUUUGGUUGAAGAUCUAUUCAAUGUUUUAUUGACUUCAUAGCUAGCGCUUUUUCUUUUGAUGGUCAGUUUAACUGACCCAGAAUGUUACAGCUGAAUUGCUUGCCACAGGGACCACUCAUUCACAUCACCACCAGUAAUGGCUCAUUUUAAACAGUGGUCACCAUGCACGAAACAACACUAAACAAGGCAACAGUAAACAUGUCGUCCCCCACAAUUUUGUAAAUGGCAGAUCUCUAUGGCAAGACGCAUCAUUCACCUAAGUGGGUUAGCUAGACUAAUACAGUAUCCCUGAGAAUGUGCUAAAUUGAGUCAAACAGAUGAAAUAUAAACACAUGCCUGUUAUAGUGCCACCGUGUGGUCGAUAUGAAUCUUCUCGCAUAUGUUGAGUCUUGACAGUGGUGACAAAGUUUGUUACAAUAUGAAUAUCCUUGACUGAUUUAUAUGCCAGACCACACUCACGUGAAUGUUUAUUGGUUCAUGUUGUUUAAAGGUACUAGUACUAGGUAUCAGUCUGGAAAGUAUUGUGUGUUGAGAGACCUUUGUCCAUAGAUGCCACAUAUAAAAUACAAACUUUUUUGCAAAG
RNAcentral lists this long non-coding RNA (8384 nucleotides) under Salmo salar (Atlantic salmon). Its description in RNAcentral is "lncRNA (ENSSSAG00000083870.1)". The record is from RNAcentral. Lineage: Eukaryota; Metazoa; Chordata; Actinopteri; Salmoniformes; Salmonidae.